RNAcentral lists this unclassified non-coding RNA (350 nucleotides) under soil metagenome. Its description in RNAcentral is "partial contains 5.8S ribosomal RNA, internal transcribed spacer 2, and large subunit ribosomal RNA". The stretch from base 1 to 120 matches the Rfam family "5.8S ribosomal RNA", at positions 35 to 154 of the family's 154-position model. The record is from RNAcentral.
GAUGAAGAACGCAGCGAAAUGCGAUGAGUAAUGUGAAUUGCAGAAUUCAGUGAAUCAUCGAAUCUUUGAACGCACAUUGCGCCCGCCAGUAUUCUGGCGGGCAUGCCUGUCCGAGCGUCAUUUCAACCCUCGAACCCCUCCGGGGGGUCGGCGUUGGGGAUCGGCCCUUUACGGGGCCGGCCCCGAAAUACAGUGGCGGUCUCGCCGCAGCCUCUCCUGCGCAGUAGUUUGCACACUCGCAUCGGGAGCGCGGCGCGUCCACAGCCGUUAAACACCCCAAACUUCUGAAAUGUUGACCUCGGAUCAGGUAGGAAUACCCGCUGAACUUAAGCAUAUCAAUAAGCGGAGGA